Molecule: long non-coding RNA, 6223 nt
Organism: Solea solea (common sole)
Lineage: Eukaryota; Metazoa; Chordata; Actinopteri; Pleuronectiformes; Soleidae
Exons: 4
Source: RefSeq, a predicted model, not a curated record
GUAGAACAUCAAAAAGAAGAGAUGCAGCACUAUGGAUGGCAGUCUCUUGGCGUUGCUAUUCAAACCCUUAGCUUUUUCUUGAGUAAUGCUUUUUAACCUUGUUACUAAAAUAUUUCUCUCCAUACCUUUGUUUUGCAACAGGUUAUACUCGGCAACAGGCCUUCAAAGUGGUUAUCUCAUCCCAGGUGCCGAUCUACAUAGAUAACAAUCCAUCUGAAGGCAGUACUGCACACAACACAACAUCACACGGGUGUAACAAUCCAAAAUGUAUACAGGAAUUUGAAGUGUAUUGUGUGUAUAUACAGUGCAGUAGCCUGUGUAGAAGCAGUGAUAGAGUCAGUACAUGCCCCAGUGUGAACUGGGUGUGAGCGAAAGCACACCCACUUAUCAGAUUCCACUGUCACAAGUGUGACUUUGUCUUCAGUACAGAAGCACCAGAAAAACAAAAAUCAAGACAUUUACAUUAUAUUUUAAUGUUAUUAUGACAUUAGAUUUGACUGUAUUGAUCCCACUGUGUGGAUAUUCACUGGUUACAUCAGUGUGACAAAUAUAAAACAGUGAGAGAAUAAGUAGGACUGCCUGCAACAAUUGUGCGAUUAAUCGAUUACUAAAUUAAUAAACUAUUUUAAUAAUUGUUUUGAUUUUUUUAAAGGUUUCUUUGCUCCAUGUAUCAAAGAAAUCAGUAAAACUUAAUAAACAAGGCGUUUGAGAACGUCAUCAUUUGGUAAAGGUUUGGUAAACACCGAUCGACUUUUUCUUACAUGUUCUAUACAUUUUAAGGACUUAACAAGUACUUGAAAAUAAUCCAUUAGUUGCAGCCCUAAGAUUAAGUAAUAAAGAUGAGGCAAAGAUAGUGACAUAGACAUAUAGAUACAAAAUAUUCAGUAAGAGGAAUAUGAAAAUACAUGGAAUAGAAAUUGAAUUGGAAAAAUAUAAGACACUUGCAUAAUAAACAAGAAUUAACACAAACUACAAAUGAUCCUGAUAAACGAUCAUGUGGACAGAAAAAGACAUUUGAGAAACAUUGUCAUUUCAACAAUUGGGAAGUUAGUGAUCGACAUUUUCUGGCCCAAACGACUAAUCGUUCAUGAAAACAAUGAUUAAGUGCAGCCCUAUAGAUGCUGACACACGUGUGUUUUACAGUGAGUGUGUGUGUGUGUGUGUGUGUGUGUGUGUGCACUGAUAAAUAAAACACACACACUCUCACUGACUUUUCCUCUGUGUGGAAGGAGAAACACAGUAGCUGCUCUGCACGUACAGUUCAUUUCCCUCCACAACUGUACACAGCACUUCUCUCUCUCUCUCUCUCUCUCUCUCUCUCUCUCUCUCUCUCUCUCUCUCUCUCUCAUGUUAGGUCGAGAGUUGGCCGUCUGCCAGAGGAGGCCGGUCUUUGCCGUGCAGCUGAAACUUUUACAAGCCGAGCAGGAAGAGAACGCACGGGGAAGCCAUCGAAAAAUGGAGGGGAAAAAAAGAAGAAGAAAAAGUCGUGUGCAGGCGACGGGUGCUCGGGGUCAGCGGCGCGGAGUGUCUCGCUUGUGUGAGAAAUGAAAGCUGGGAAAGAUGCCAAGAAAGGGACGUACAUAAAAAAUAUGCUCCCUCCUCUUCUUCUUUUUCUUCAUCUCCAUUCAUUGAUUCCUUUAGAUGACCACUCCCACUGACGAGGGCCGGUAUUUUUGUUCCCCGACGAUUGGAGAAGGACAAGGACGGGAAAAGACAAAUGGUGCCAAAGUGGGCAGGCGGACCGAGGCAAACACGGCACAGGGCAGAGCAGAGGGCGCUACACAGGCUGGCCAACUGUGUGUGUCUGUGUGUGUGUGUGUGUGUGUGUGUCUGUGUGUGUGUGUGCGCGUGUGCGUUUGGACCUGACUGCUUUGAUCAUAUACGCAACUCUGCGUGUGUGUGUGUGUUUGACACUGUGGUGUAUCAGUGUGUGUGUGUGUGAGCAGACGUCCCUCUGUCACCCUGUGUACGGACAGACGCCAGUAGGAGGGGAUUGUGGGAAAGGGGUGUAGCUCUGUGAGGGUGUGCUGCGCUCCUCUCUUUUUCCCUCUUCCCGCCAUCGCGGCCCUCUUCUCCUCCGGUCGUCCUGCCCGGCCCGCCGCUCUCACGCUCAGGCUCCAGAUGCCACGCCGCAGUCCGCUCGCCGCCAUUUUGACUCGAUGGUCGUAGCGAGAGAAACUUUUCUCGAGCCCAGAGAGACUCCUCGACUCCUUGCUGACCAUCAUCUUCCUCCCUCCCUCCCUCCCUCCCUCCCUCCGUCUGUCUCUCUGUGUCCUCCCCUGACCUCUGCUCUCCUUCCUCUCCAGCAGCGGGGUCUAACAGGGCAGUAAGCGCCGCGUCUGUCGGUGGCGUCCUGCGCCCAAACAGGUGUCUGUGGGCCUUACUUUUCUGACCUGAGAGUGAGUGAGUGAGUGAGUGAGUGAAUGAAUGAGUGAGUGUUGGCUCCAGGUGAGUGUGAGCUCAGCUGCUGCUGAAAUGCUGCACCCACUCAGGACGUGUGUCUUAUCAGCCCGUGGCGGUUACGUCGGGUGAAUUUACUCUCCCAGCUUUUAGACGCCAUUUCCCGCCGCCAUCGCGACUCUGUAGAUAUACAGUCGUUGUCAGGUUGGUGUGUGUGCGUCUGUAUGUGUGUGCGUCUGUAUGUGUGAUCUCAAGGUGUGACAGUUUGUCCCGACUCUGCGUCACAUACAGGCCGCUGUUAUGUAUAUGACACCCAACACUUGACAUGAAACCGAUCCAGCAUCAGGAAAGAAAAGAGCAGAAAAUGCAGCUUCAAUGUUGUUUUAUUUUGAAAAUCCAUUACUUUAAUCGAGCUUUGACAAAACAAAGGAAAUGUGUUCUUUUUUAAUGUCGCGCUGUGAAUUUUGAUUAGGACAAUGACGAAAUAUGAAAUAUCACGUGAAGUGGUCAUUUGUGCCAAUUUAAAUGGUAUUGUGUAGCCAGAGGUGUGUCUCGAUGUGAACAGAGGUCGAUGGUAAGAUGGCGUCCUCGUGCCACGUGUUUGAAGAAAUAGACCCUUCACCCCGUCACAAUUUGUGGGCAAACUACAGUCACUUCAUCUGUGUCAGCCUCCCCUCACUGUGUGCUGCGGCGUGAAGUGACAACUAUGUAUUUAUAAGAAAAUAAAACAGACAAACAGAAAAAAGCCUUUUGAAACACAUCAACAUGUGACGAGAGGAAAGUGUUGAGAAAGAAAAGAAGACGCUGCAGAGACACAGAGAAAACAAGGGUUUAGUUAGUUAAAGAGGCAGGCAGACAGACAGACAGAGAGACAGACAGACAGAGAGAGAGAAGCAGGAGUGGAAGAGUGCUGUGUCCCCGCCCCCUCUCUUAUCCUCAGAUGAACUUAUCAUGUUGCCUCAUAAUGUUUCUGAGUUGUUUUUUUCCCCCUCGUAGAGUCACUCGGGCUCACUUCCUGUAUUCAGCCUCCACGGAGCUGAUUGGCUGAUGUCUUUGCUUGACCGGCCACAGUUUGCAGCGCGGCAACAGGAAGUUUCUCUCCUCUCGUGCAGGAAGCUGCAGCUGUUUUAGGCCCCGACACUCACCACUGUGCGCUCUCGCACGCAUACACUCUUCUCCUUUGUGUGUGUGUGUAUACAGUGUGUGUACGUGUGUAUGUGUGUGGCAUCAGUGACGGCUAUAACAUGUGGGCGUGUUGUGACACGCCAGGCCUGGCAUCUGAGCUAUCAGAAAACGUUUGAAACCAUGGUAACGACACAUCACAUCAGCACUUUAGUGGCAGCAGGAAUAUCAGGAGUUUUUAACCUCGACUUAACAUUUCAUAUCUAAUCUAUACAUAUGUUUUAUGUGGUGACAUUAACAGUGAAAACCCCACUGUUGACUUAGACGUAUUAAACACAUGUCUGAGCUAUUAUAAGAAGAUUAACUCUUCUUCACUAUUAAAUAGAAUUUUCCACCCUAGAAACUGAAGUUUGGGUCACUUUGUCCAAACAUUAUUUUACAUCCCAGCAACACAGGAGUUGUUGAUCCACUACUGCCUCUGUGAGUGACUUCAAAUGUGUUAUUUAGUGAAUUCGGGGUUUGAUGCAAACCUCCCACACGAGGCAGCAGUAGACCGGGAGCUCCUGUUUUCCUCAGAGCUAAAAUCACAGAUUUUCCCUAUGGACUUUGGUGCAGGGAAGGAAUAAGCGGUUUAUAAAGGGACACAAAUGUUACUUUCUGGUUGUAAGUGUCUGUCUAACAGUGAGAUAAAGCAGCAAACGUAUCCAUAUUGAUUUAAUUAGGUCAUUCUUUUGUUCUGUCCACACAAUUAAUACAUUUUUUAAGCAAUUUUGAUAAACGUUUUUGGUGCAUUUUGAGGUUUCCAGUAUUUUUCAGCCUCUUAAUUGACAAUAUGAUGUGAUUUAUGUGCUCCUCUAUGACAAGAAACCAGUUCUUUUGGAUGCAUGUACUGAACAACUAAUAUGUCUGGAUUGAACUAAGCCUUUAAGUUUGAAUCUAAUCGUGAUGACUUCACUUUGCUGCGCUCUUUUGUGUCUCAGUGUUCGAAAACGAUUGUCAGACACCGUGACCGUCGACACAAUGGCUCCCUUAUGCUCCUGCCUUAUCUGGGUCAUACUAUGGUUUCAUCAGACAUGUUGCCUGGCGUGUUUAUCUUACCUUUCAUGCUGAGUCUAACACCAUAGUGUGUGUUUGUGUAUGUGUGUGUGAAGCAAACGGCAGGACGAGCGUUCCUUUAAUUACCAUUUCAUAAACGAGGAUGAGUGGCUGAGCCUCUUUCAUGUUGUGCUGUGAGCACAUGCAUAUGGUAGCGGCGUAUCGGUGAACAUGUGACACGUGACGUUCUGCAUCUGCUUAUAAUGAGGAUGUGCAGAAACAUCAGAGCGGGCGCUGAGCAAAGGAAGCUCAGCGAUCCUGUCCUCAAGGUUUCUAAAACAAGGUUUUAGAACAAUAAUAAUAACGAUAAUAGUAAUGAUGUUUCUCGUGUAUUUGCCCCAUGCCUGGACACAGUUUGUCUCUGGGGACAUGAGUUUGACAAGACAUCCGCUUGUAUUUUUUUUUAAAACUGUGGGAAUUCUUCAUCCUGCCGUUUAUUGUGUGGCAUACUUCCUCUGCCAACUCCAGCUCCCCCUCCUUUUCACCCAGCGUCACCACCUCCUUCCUCCCUCAUUGAAAUUCUGCCUGGCACACAGUCUCUGCCCAUUCUUGGCACAAAGCUCAGAGUGUGAGGCACACACACACACACACACAUAAGAACCUGUACCAGUCGUCUGUGCCAAGCAUUCAUCCCGUCGUGGACCGAGCGACCGGGCAAUCCGAUAGGUAUUUCCCCCCCGCCUCUGUUUCUCCUGCGAAAAUCUGCUCCAGUUCGGAGGAGUUUCAUUGGCAUCCGCGUGAGUGUGUGUGUGUGUGUGUGUGUGUGUUUGGGGAUUUGCUAAUUAAUUUGCGUGUUUAUGUCGUUUGUGUCGCAUGAGGAGUAAAUCCAAUGAAUCCCACACUGAGCCACAGAGGAGGAGGUGAAGCUGAGGCCGAUUGUUGUGACAGUGUUAAGCAAAAGAAAUGUUUCUGCAUUUAUUUGUUUAUCGUCUAAGGCCGAUAUCCAUAUUACACUGACAAGAGUUUGGUGAAUUUUCCAUUUAAAGGAGAUUUAACUCCACAAAUCAAGCAAGAUUUCCUUUAAAAAACAUCGUCGUAUUUCACUUUUUCACCAAAAGGCCACGGCCGUUUCUCCCGAUGAGAGUGGAGAACGGUCCAGCUCUGAUGUUUGGGCGUUUGCCAGUACAAUUUGGCUUCAUAAAAUUAAUGUUUGGUUGGAGAGAAAAGGAGACAGAACUCAGAACUCCUGCUCCUUUUCGAUCACUCUGUGAUGUUUGAAUGUGCUAAAAUACUCAAAAUAGUAAAUCUGUACUAUAGCUGCUAGCUGCUACCAUAGCUGUUACAGUUAGCCAGUUAGCCAUUAAGUGCCAAAUACUGAUGCCACAAUGUCUGGCUAGCAGCUAACAGCUUUUUCUCCUUCCAUUCGUUUCCAGCAGGCUGUACACUAGCAGCUAAUAGUAUCUGGCUAUUGUAGCUUUUAAUGUCAAAUGUUGGUAGCAUCUGGCUACAGUAGCUGCUAUUGUCAAAUGCAAGUAGAUUCUGGCAAGAAAACUGCUAAUGUCAAACGUUGGUAGUGUGUGGCUACAGUAGUUGCUAAUGUCAAAAUGCUAGUAGCGUCUGGCUACAGUAGCUGCUAAUGUCAAAAUGCUAGUAGUGUCUGGCUACA